UCUUGUGCAAACCUCGGGGUGGG
This 23-nucleotide non-coding RNA is filed under the name Rattus norvegicus (Norway rat). Lineage: Eukaryota; Metazoa; Chordata; Mammalia; Rodentia; Muridae. The record is from RNAcentral.